RNAcentral lists this ribosomal RNA (425 nucleotides) under uncultured prokaryote. Its description in RNAcentral is "bacterial SSU rRNA". It matches the Rfam family "Bacterial small subunit ribosomal RNA", at positions 355 to 774 of the family's 1533-position model. The record is from RNAcentral.
UAACGAAUAUUGGGCAAUGGGCGAAAGCCUGACCCAGCAAUGCCGCGUGCAGGACGAAGUCCUUCGGGAUGUAAACUGCUGUCAGGGGUCCGCAAGCGAAGGGGUCCAACAGGCCCUGGAGUUGAGCAGCCCCAGAGGAAGCCUCGACUAACUCUGUGCCAGCAGUCGCGGUAAGACAGAGGAGGCAAGCGUUGUUCGGAAUUAUUGGGCGUAAAGAGCGUGUAGGCGGCUUGGUAAGUCAGAUGUGAAAGCCCUGGGCUUAACCCAGGAAGUGCAUUUGAAACUGCCUAGCUUGAGUAAGGGAGAGGUGCCUGGAACUCUAGGUGGAGCGGUGAAAUGCGUAGAUAUCUAGAGGAACGCCAGAAGCGAAAGCGGGGCACUGGGCCGAUUCUGACGCUGAGACGCGAAAGCGUGGGGAGCAAACA